Molecule: long non-coding RNA, 3953 nt
Organism: Numida meleagris (helmeted guineafowl)
Lineage: Eukaryota; Metazoa; Chordata; Aves; Galliformes; Numididae
Exons: 2
Source: RefSeq, a predicted model, not a curated record
UACACCUUAUCAAUUUCCAGCUCUUUCUCUUAGAAAGGAAAAAGGGCCAAGGAGGGAGAGAGAGAGAGAGCCAACCAAAACCACUUUCUUCCUUCUUUUACUACAAAACACAGCUAAGUUACUUUUUCCACUAGCAGCAGCACAAAGUCUUCACGAGUCAAACACAACCAUCAGGGUUUGGUCAGACCCCACCAAUACGUAAGUUGCAAGCAUGAGUUCUGCAUACAGUCCUCGCAAAGUAAGAAAGAAAAAUCAGAGUCCCUUCUACCACCUGCAGCACUUAACCACACAGAGAACAGUUACUUCAGACCACAGUGGAGAAGGGCACAGUAAACACCACAAACCUGAUCGAACUUAAUUUGGAAGAUCCCUUGAGCUCCAGCAAAAACAGUGCAUAGAAAUAUCUACUUCAUGCAGAAAAUAACAUCCAAAUUCUAGUGAUGACUCUACUUUGAAGUAUUCCGAAUUUAAACAAGCGAGCCUCCAACAGAAACCAACACACAGUGCUAAUUCAGCACAUGGUGCUACCACUUACUGCCAUCACAAUUCACAGAACUUGUCUGAGACUGCCCCACUUUGCAGAGUUCUCCGCAGCAGCGUGGACUUACGCAAUCCUCGCCCUGUGAUAUAGAGGCUUCAAAUCCUUUUAAAAAUGUAAACAGCCUCAUUAGUAAGCGAUCAAGGAGGAGGGACUUACCUCCAGCAGAAAGAAAGGAAGCUCCAGCCUGGGAUAAGGUUUCAGACCUAAGAGUUAGCUUACAGCACAAGCACUGCUGCUAGCUACGUCUCUCAUGGGUUCAAGAGAGCACAUAUUACUGGAUUAUUUGCCUGAUGGCUUCUGAGGCCUAAGACUCCCAGUAGUUGCUCACUGUCCAUCAUAUAAGUGAACUGCUAUAACAAGAAGUGUAAAUUUGUAAGCCAGGUUGCCUGCUGUGAAUUCGUAAUUCCAGCUGUAAGAUUUUUAAGCCACCUCCAUGGAAUGCAUAUGGCUCAGCAACUCUGCAUGUCCUCAACUGUCAAUAGAAGCUUCAGAUUUCCUCAAAGAAACAUAUUCAUUGCACCUAAACUAGAAGGCCAGUGAAGCAAUGCUGACCAAACAUGCCUUGGACUACACUUCCGCAUGAUGACUCACUGGCGUGGAACAUCCUACAUCUUCCUUACAUUCUCAGCCUCAGGUUGCUGCCUUCAGACUGGCUAUCAGGAUCACUACUGAGAGAAUAGCAGUUGCCCCAGGCCAAAAGCAUGCAGGAAGUUUUCCAACAGCAGAGGCAACUGAGUUCCGGUGUCCACCGAUAGUCUGACUUGCUAACAAAGACAUAGCCACAGAUUUCAGUUUGAGUGCCUGAAUCUCUGAACUUUUAGCUGGUAGGACAUCCUGAAGUUUUUCUUUCAACCUGGACCAAAACCCAGACAAAGUUUUCACUUUCCUGCAAACUGAAAGCUUCUGAAAAACAUCAGGCUGAGAGCACAAACAGCCAGCACAGCCAACAUGAAAUACACACCUUAGCCACCCUUACCGGAAGAGGAAAGGAUAUGAGGCAACCCACAAUGAGAGACAGGAUCAAGAAUAACAAGAAACCACACCUUCAGGCAAUCUCAACUCAGGUUGCUGCAGUCCUGCUUUUGGCCUGUCCUCUGGAACUCAUGCUGUAAUGCAGUGAGUCAGCUCAGAGAACUUAUCUGACUUAAAGUUAACCAAAGAGAAAUAAGAGCUAGUUGUCAGUCAGGUCAGCUCCCUGAUGCACCUCACCAUCAAACUCCAUGAGUGCCAAAAGCAACGCAAGGCAGAGGUGUGCUAAUUCAGUUUCUUUCACUUAAACACCCAUGGGACUGCACCACUAAAGGAUAGGAUAUUUUCACUGUUUUAAGUCUAACUUACUGAGAUUAAAGUCCAUACAAAAUUGAAUUUUCCAAUAAUCUUCCUGUACUUACAUCAGCAACUAGAGAGAGGUAUCAAAAUCCUCUUAGGAGUAUAAUUACCUUUUUCAAUAUUGAUAUGUAUACCACAGUGAUUUCUGCCUUAUUUGCAUUUAAUUCCUUAUCACCAUUAAAGAUUACUUGAAAAUAUGCCAUGUUAACGAGGCAUUUUAGCACUGGCAGUCGGAUACAGUUCUGCUACAGAAGUACUGCUAGAAGUUACUACAGUAGUAGCUCUAAAGCAAUAGUUUCAACUCAGAAUAAAUAAUUUCCUCUGAAGUGAAUUAAAUCCUGAAGACAGGCACUUGCCAGUUUGCAGCUAGUCAUCGCAUAAACCGAAAUCCACCAAGCAGGCUUGGGAUGUCUGCCUACCAGGAAUUCUUUCCAUUGGAGCCAUUCUUCAAGUACUUGAACAGAGAGACAAAAUAUCAGGUUGUCAACACUCUGAUCAUUCAAAACAGGGGCACUUCUGGGACACCGCAGAAAACAGACCAAAAUGCAAGCAGUUAAGCAGUAAAAGGGACUGGAAGUUUUCCAGUUACACACCCAUCUAGUAGGGCGUGCUACAGAAGCUCUUGCUUUACUUUUAGUUCAUUUUCCUAUUGCUUUUACUGCACUUUGGCCCACUUGCAUCAGUAGGAAAAGGAAGAUCAUGGGUUCUGGUAACAGAAUUACUGGCAAGAAUUCUUAUUUUCUUCCUUCUUUUUGUGGAACAUUUUCAGAAUAUGUACUUUAACACUUUAUCCAUUUUUCUCAAAAUCGUGAAAUACGCUCUCAUGUGUUGCAGUAUUUAAACCAAGUUAAAAGUGCCUCAAAAUUAAUGAACUCCAGGAACUUCUGCUAUCAAGCCUCAAAGAAAAAGAAGUGCAGCAGAGUAAAGCUUCACUACAAGCCCGAGUGGCAACUACAUCCAGCCCGUGAGACACCAACAGCUUACCAGCAAACAGAGAAUUCUGCCAUACGCCCCCAGCCUGGCCCAGCACUAAGCUACUAGCCCAGAAGGACAAGGCUCCAUCACAGUCUUGACCCUGGACAGUGCCACUCACAUCAGGCCCAUGAGAAGGAGAAGGGCUGUCUAGAACCUGGCAUACACCACCCAUCACCACCUCUAACUCAUGUCAGUGGGUUCAGGAACAGAAAGGUUCACGAAUUUACACUCUCCCUCUAUCUCUUCACUUACAGAGCUUACAGCUGGAUUCAACAAUAUCAUAUGAAGUGCAGACUUCACAGGAGAUGGUCUUGCGUGGCUGUAACAGGUGCUGCCUUGGCUCUGUGAUACUGAGUGGAAUAGGAACAGUCCUGUGCUCACUCUCAUCCAGGGAUAAGUAGUAAUAUAAUCCCACAUAAACAGACCAGAAAUAGGUGAUGCCGCAAGAUCCUAGCACUUCCUCAAAGAUGACAGCACUGGCUGCAUCAGCGUGCUCUCAAGAGAAGAGUGAUUCCUUUAAACCUUUAUUUUUCUUUCCUCCUCUCUGCAGAGCUGCAGCCUGAGGAAACGUAUGGCCCUCUCUGAGGGCUGGAGUCCCUCAAAUAAUAAUCAUUCCACUUUGUACUGCAUAGAAUCACAGAAUCAUUAAGGUUGGAAAAGACCUCUAAGAUCAUCUAGUCCAACCCCAAACCCAUCUCCACCAUGCCCACUAAACAACAUUAGUACCGCAUCUACACGUUUCUUGAACACAUUCAGGGACAGUGACUCUACCACCUCCUUGGACAGGCCACUCCAAUGCCUCACCACUCUGAGGAGAAAUUCUUCUGGACACCCACGGUGCAACUCAAGGCCAUUACAAUGCUACAAUUUUACAGGAUACUUUGAAAGCAUCACUUUUCUGGUUUGCAUUGUGUUCUUCUAUGUGCUACAUACUUGCAAAACUCUACACCCAGAGUUAUUACUCCUGUUCAAUAAACUGGGAAAAUUCUCAAUUUCAGUGACAACCCUGAGUGACAUAAAAGGAAUAAAAUAAACUCCAGCAGAAAUACAAUGAAACCACCAGGUUUUUCCGGUUACACAGUCUCAAAAUAAAUGAAUUGAUAAAUAA